ACUCUUUUCUGAUCCGUCAGUGUGAUGAUUGAGUGUUCACAGCACUGUGUGAAAUGUGCCUCCCUCAAACCUGGUUGCCACACUUUUAGUCGUCUGAUA
Octodon degus (degu) is the source of this 99-nucleotide small nucleolar RNA. RefSeq annotates it as small nucleolar RNA U13. The transcript has a single exon. The record is from RefSeq and is a predicted model, not a curated record. NCBI's taxonomy places the organism in Eukaryota, Metazoa, Chordata, Mammalia, Rodentia, Octodontidae.